Molecule: long non-coding RNA, 3704 nt
Filed under: Salmo salar (Atlantic salmon)
Lineage: Eukaryota; Metazoa; Chordata; Actinopteri; Salmoniformes; Salmonidae
Description: lncRNA (ENSSSAG00000094536.1, ENSSSAG00000095527.1)
Source: RNAcentral
GACGCAGAUCGCGCUGAAAGUCCUGCCUCUCCCAUCUCCUCAUUGGUUUAUAGAAGCAGGUACCCACGUGCCAUCUCCUCAUUGGUUAUACUCACGUGGGUGACUGAAAGAGGAACAAGGUCGGUGGCGGUAAUGCACCUAAUUUAUACAAAUUACCAAUCGAAAUAUAAAGUCAAGAGAAGAAAAAGCCUAGAAGGAGGAGAGAUGACUAGAAACGAUUCGGUUGACCAUUUUAUGUGUGGAUUAAUUGUCUGAGUAGAGGACCUUGUGCUUUUCAGAGGACCUGAGCCCUAGGACCAUGCCUCAGGACUGCCUGACAUGAUGACUCCUUGCUGUCCCCAGUCCACCUGGCCAUGCUGCUGCUCCAGUUUUAACUGUUCUGCCUGCGGCAAUGGAACCCUGACCGGUUCACCGGACGUGCUACCUGUCCCAGACCUGCUGUUUUCAACUCUCUAGAGACAGCAGGAGUGGUAGAGAUACUCCCAAUGAUCGGCUAUGAAAAGCCAACUGACAUUUACUCUUGAGGUGCUGACUUGUUGCACCCUCGACAACUACUGUGAUUAUUAUUAUUUGACCAUGCUGGUCAUUUAUGAACAUUUGAACAUCUUGGCCAUGUUCUGUUAUAAUCUCCACCCGGCACAGCCAGAAGAGGACUGCCCCCCCCCCCUCAUAGCCUGGUUCCUCUCUAGGUUUCUUCCUAGGUUUUGGCCUUUCUACGGAGUUUUUCCUAGCCACCGUGCUUCUACACCUGCAUUGCUGGCUGUUCGGGGAUUUAGGCUGGGUUUCUGUACAGCACUUUGAGAUAUCAGCUGAUGUCACUCCCCUCUCAGUGAGCUUGUCCAGGAGUGGGAACAAGAGGUGUUUUACUGAGGAUGGGCCACUAUGAGAUAGCACUGACAAAGGAAAUGUAUGAUGUAUUUUGAUAAGAAGGCCUAAAAAGCAUUCCAGAGGACAUGAGCUAAUGGUUCUGUUCAAUACCGUACCAGGGAGGGACAGUUCUAAGGGGACCAGAUACUGGUCUAUAUAAUGAACCCUGUUGACAUAGCAGUUACUGUCUGCUGUGUUUUAUGGAUAUCUGUCAUAUAAAACUUAACCUUUGUGAACUGUUACUAAGAUCUGUGGUUUGUCAAUGUACGUUGAAGGGGGUGUAUCUUUGCUAUAAAAUAUCUCUGUAGCCAUUGUGUAAUCACCUUCCUGGUUCAUUUGAGAGAGUGCAUUAUUGAAGGUCAAAGAGGCUUUUGCAAAAGUAUCUUAAGUAUUAAAGAUGUAGUUAAAUCGGACUGGUGUGUUUAACUCUCCUCAUUUGGUAAUGCAGAAAUUAGCCACCACAGAGCUCAACUGUGAAUGGUCCUGGCGCACCAAAAAAAAGAGUAAAGGGAAUCCAAUUUGGAUUUAGCGUCACUCCUAUCAAAUCACAUUGAGGGCAUAUGUCAUUGACAGAAACAAACUGAAUCGUUUCAUCUCGUGGUGUUGUUGGUGGUGUUGUUGUCAUCCAGUGGCUAGCUAGCUAAAAUUGGCCCUUUCCUAAAUUAGCCAUGGAUGGAGAUAGGGAUUUGGACAUGUUUUACUUAAUUCUCCGUACUGGCCAAUGAUUGUAAUGGCAAUGUAGAAGUUUAAUAUUAAUUGUAACUAGUUUAAGGUUAAGGUUAUGGUUAACUACCUAAUGUUGCCCAUGAAAGGAAGUUAGGCAGGCGAGCAAGUAUUUUAGUCAGGUAGCUUAGGACAACAGAAACGAAAAGCAUGUACUGUAUCAUGACAGAGUCAUAGACCGUUUAGGCAACAUAAACACAGAAAUCAGUACCAUGGACAGCCACAUCAUAUUUAGCUCACGUUGAUUGGACAAAAUAGUUUUUUAGAUCUUUUAGUUGUCACUAUAUUGGACUAAACAUAGGUGAUUAUGUUGAAGUUGAAAUGGUGCUGGAAUAGUGGAGGCAGCUCCUGUUUUAUUUGCGACUUGCGGUAACUCUCCAUGGUUCUAAAUCAAUAGUUAUUUAGUAGUUCGAAAAUGUCAAAAACAUUACCUUGCUUGACCAUGCUGACGGUCAGGUAACUGUUUGUUACAUGCAAUAUGUGUCAAGGCAUAUGAACUAACAGGUUAUAGAGCAAACAACGCAGUUAUCACAACACAUAGGUUGUAAUAUGGCUUUUUACUUCUUCUGGAUUGGCUUCUCUGGGGAUUUUACCCAAGCACCGCUACUGACAGGCAUUCUUCCAGCAGACAACGCUCUGCCUGGUGUAGCUACUUUUCUCCGUGUAGCCAGCCUACUUCUUUCCAGUAAAACGCAAGAAUAACUUUAAUCAAAACAUUAGCAAAUGUAGGUGGCUAAUAUGUAGGUGGCUACCAUUUACUUGUGUAGCUGCCAGCCAAAUAGUGUUGCACUUCUGUUGUCAUCUGAUAACAAUGAAGCUAUUUUCUGCUGAAUAUGUUGCACUAAUGUAUUUUCUGUGAAGGAAACUAUAGUUGCAUGUCCCUGAUCAAUGGAUUAAACCAAAAAAACACUGUUCACUUUCAAUAUAAAACGUGACCCCUGUCAGUACACAACUGGACUCACCUACAAACUGUCACGUCCUGACCAUGGUAAGCUGUUAUUUUCUAUGGUAGAGUAGGUCAGGGCGUGACGGGGGGUUUUCUAGUUUAGUUUUUUCUAUGUUGUUAUGUUCUAGUUUUGUAUUUCUAUGUUGGGUUGUUCUAGUUUUUGUAUUUCUAUGUUGGGCUUUGUUUGAGAUGAUCUCCAAUUAGAGGCAGCUGGUCAUCGUUGUCUCUAAUUGGAGGUCAUAUGUUUUUGGGGGGGGCACACGGGGAGAUUGGCAGAGUCAGGGUGGAGACCUGAGCCAAUUCCCCGUGCUUACCGUGGGGAGCAAGUGAAGAAGCAAGCACCGUGUUAUGCGGUGAUGAUUCACAGUCCGGUGUGAUCUGUGCCCGCGCCCCGCAUUUGCCGAGCUAGGUUGAGCAUUCAGCCAGGAAGGGUGGUGCCAGCUCAGCGCUCCUGGUCUCCAGUUCGCCUUCUCGGUCCAGGAUAUCCUGCUCUGGCGCUGCGCACUGUGUCACCAGUGCGUAUUCACAGCCCAGUGCGUCCUGUGCCCGCACCCCGCGUUUGCCGGGCGAAAGUAAGCAUCCAGCCAGGACGGGUUGUGCCAGCUCUACGCUCGAGACCUCCAGUGCGCCUCCACUGUCCAGUAUAUCCUGUGCCUGCCCCACGUACCCGGCCUCCAGUGAGUCUAUCCAGCCUGGUACGCCCUGUUCCUGCUCCCCGCACUUGCCCUGAGGUGCGUGUUACCAGUCUGGCGCCACCUAUGCCAGCCCCAUGCAUCAGGCCUCCAGUGCACCUGCCCAGUCCGGGGUGUCGUGUUCCUGCUCCCCGCACUCGCCAUGAGAUGCGUGUUACUAGUCUGGCGCCACCUAUGCCAGCCCCACGCAUCAGGCCUCCAGUGCGCAUUCCCAGUCCAGAGCUUCCGGCGACAGUUCCCAGUCCGGAGCUUCCGGCGACAUUCUACAGUCCGGAGCCUCCUGAGACGGCCCGCAGUCCGGAGCCUCCUGAGACGGCCCGCAGUCCGGAGCCUCCUGAGACGGCCCGCAGUCCGGAGCCUCCUGAGAUGGCCCGCAGUCUGGAGCCUCCGGCGAUGUCCCGCAGGCGGCGGUCUGCAGUCUAGAACCUCCGACGGCAGUCUACAGUCUAGAACCUCCGGUGAUGAUCCACGGUCCG